This is a long non-coding RNA of Scophthalmus maximus (turbot), 914 nucleotides long. RefSeq lists it as uncharacterized. The record is from RefSeq and is a predicted model, not a curated record. The transcript has 2 exons. Lineage: Eukaryota; Metazoa; Chordata; Actinopteri; Pleuronectiformes; Scophthalmidae.
AUUUUAAAACACCUGCUUUGGAUUUUUAGUGUUCAUUGUAGCUAUUUAAGGCCACCUGAAUUUAUCGUCUUAAGUCUCGUUCCCCCUCUCCUCCCCCGAGAUCUUCCGUCGCGCCAGACAACGAGGCAGCUGCCGAUUGAGACUGAGGCGGAACUUUGUUGGAGUCCUCUUGGCUUCUUUCCUCCCCUGCACAUUUACCCAUGUGCACUGGAUGCUGAUGCGUUGCAUUCAAGUUGUGCCAUGGCGGAUCACAUUUCCUUUGUUCAGUGGUCACCUUUCAGAUAUUGUUUCAAGUUUUUGUUGCUGAUACAUUUGAUUUGUGUAUAAAUCUCAUCUAUUUUUUAAUUAGGGCCCGAGCCACUGCAUUGUCAGGCGAGGACAUAUUGUAAUCGUAGGAAUUAUUAUUAUACUUUUCUUCUUCUGCACAUGCAUCAGAAAUGGUGAAAAAUUUGAUAUUUUAUUGACUCGAUAGUACCACAUUUCCCCCAGCUUUAAAUUUGUUCUAGAUGAAUGAAAUUUGGUAGGCACGUGUAUCACAUCAAGACCUACAAAAAAGCCAUUUGGAUUUUAGUUUUGCAUUUUGGACAUUUUGGUACUUUAUGCGUCUUUAUUAUAGAUGGUGGAGCGAGGAUGCUGCGAUUCAUGUUCAUGGCAUCUUGACACCCACUCCACAGGAAAGUUCCUCACAGCACAUUUAUGAUCAAUGUGGUAACAGAGAGUUAGCAUCUCUGCUUUACUGAUUUUAACUUCUGCCCUACAGUAUGAAGAUUGAUCUGAACUCUGUUCAUUUUAUUUCAUGAAUAGUGUAUAUUAGCAGACGGAAAACAAUCCUUCUGCAUCACAGACUUUGGAAAAGAAGUAACACACACACACACACACACACACACACACACACACACACACACACACACACA